UUGUUAGAGGGCUCUUAAGUCAUCCUUUCUCCUUCUGAACUAGCCGUUGCUCAUCUGCUCACGUCUGUGGCUGCAGCAGUUAAUGCCAGUUUCAGGUCUCGCUUUGUCACCCAGGCUGGAGCGCAGUGGUUUGAUCUCAGCUCACUGCAGCCUCGACUUCCCCAGGCUCAGAUAAGGAGACCAAGGUGUGAAGAGGAAAGGUGAAUACUAAGGUGGAGCCAGGCCUGCAACCCAGGUCUCCUAUCUCCUGGCCCAGGCUUUUGCCUCCUGCCACGUUGCCUACUGUGAGCAGUUGGGUCCCGAGGAAAGAGAAAAGCAGAGAGGAGUGUGAGUGCAUAAGCCUGAAGAUAGAGGGUACAGUGGUUCAUUGAGAGAUUUUGGAGUCAGCAGAUCUGAUCUUACACUUACCUGUUAUGAAGAUUUUGACAAGUAAUUUCAUCUUCUCAGAGCCUAACUUCCCAGCUAUAACAUAAGAAAAAGAGGACCUUCUUAUAGUAGACACAGACCCACAGGAGCAGAGUGGUACCUGACCUGGCACAGAGUAGGCGCUCGGAAUCCUGUGUCCAGUGACUUGAAUGUCCAUCAGACUGGAUGUUAGAGCUGUGGGGAUGUGGCACUCACCCUGGAACUACUACUAGUUGCUAUGCAGCCCAUUCCCAUCUCUGUGAACAACCUGAAAUGUCCACCUUCCUUCAAUCUAAAAAUUCUACUCAUCCAUCAAGGAGCUCAAUGCCCUGAGUAUGUGAGGAGAGGGCUGCUUUGGAGUUGGACAGACUUGAGUUCAAGUCCUGGCUCUUCCAUGUGGUACUCAUGUGACGUAGGCCAAGUCAUAUAACUUGAGCUUCAGUUUCCAUAAAAUGGCAAACACAUGGUGCUCAUUA
Molecule: long non-coding RNA, 881 nt
Filed under: Pan troglodytes (chimpanzee)
Lineage: Eukaryota; Metazoa; Chordata; Mammalia; Primates; Hominidae
Description: lincRNA
Source: RNAcentral